CACGUAGGGGCCAAGCGUUGUCCGGAUUUAUUGGGCGUAAAGAGCUCGUAGGCGGUUGGGUAAGUCGGGUGUGAAAACUCCAGGCUCAACUUGGGGACGCCACCCGAUACUGCUCUGACUUGAGUUCGGUAGGGGAGUGGGGAAUUCCUGGUGUAGCGGUGAAAUGCGCAGAUAUCAGGAGGAACACCGGUGGCGAAGGCGGGAUCCUGGGCCAGUACUGACGCUGAGGAGCGAAAGCGUGGGGAGCAAACAGG
This 254-nucleotide ribosomal RNA is filed under the name uncultured bacterium. Its description in RNAcentral is "partial 16S ribosomal RNA". It matches the Rfam family "Bacterial small subunit ribosomal RNA", at positions 524 to 776 of the family's 1533-position model. The record is from RNAcentral.